Molecule: long non-coding RNA, 1186 nt
Filed under: Helianthus annuus (common sunflower)
Lineage: Eukaryota; Viridiplantae; Streptophyta; Magnoliopsida; Asterales; Asteraceae
Description: hypothetical non coding rna
Source: RNAcentral
AUGUCGACGAAACAGAAUGUGUUUCGUCGACUUUGUGUGUUUCGCCGAGGGUUAUUUGUGUUUCGUCAAUUGGACGAGAUAAGAGAGCUGUGUGAGACUUAGAGAGAGUCAUAUAAACAUUGUUUGUAUAUGUUUGUAUCUGUUCUCAUCCCUAAUCAAUAGAUAUUGAAUCUUUUGGUUACGCGUGUUUUUAUUUUACACUUUGUUUGGUUUGCAUCGUCACGGGGAUUCCGCACCCGUUACCGUGUUCUUGAUAAACAAGGAUAGGUUUACGUUAUCGAUCCACCGGAAAAACGGGACCUACAAUUGGUAUCAGAGCUUUGGCUCUAAUCCUUGUUUAAAACCAAACAAGUUUGGGUUUUUAUCAAGGUUGAACCUGUUUGUUUAUGAUUUUCUAAAAAAGUGUUCUUGAAAGUUAAUAUUUUUUUUUGAAAUUUUUCCUAAAAUCUGUUAAAUCUUGCUUGUUUUGCUAAAGAGUUUUAUUAAAAACCUUGUGUGUUGAUUGUUCACGUGUUAAACCGGGUUUUUAGUGAAAGUUUUAAGCGAAUUCGGGUUUCGUCGAUGACCGGAAAAUUCAAAAAUUCUGGAUUUGUUCUUCAUAUCUUCAGUAACCUUCAAGGAGUUGUUCAAAUUUUCAACUUUUUGAUCCUUUGUGUUGUUACUGUGCAAUUUGUUGGAAAGUUAAAAAAAAAUUAUAUUUGAUUUGAAAGUUGGGCUAUGUGCUGUUCGGUUGGUAUGGUCUACAUUUGAAAUUGUGUCACAUGUGUACUGUGUGUCAGACCAUGUGGAGAUAAGAUUUUGAAAAGUCUCACCAAACAACCUUAUCUUUUUACUUAAAAAAAAAAAAACCAUUGACUUACGUCACACAACUUUCAUUCAUUCAUUCAUCAAUAUACAUUUGCCAUAAAGUCAAGCCCAACUUUCGAAAAGCAUUAAAAUCUUAUCCAUUCAAAACAAUUGUGUUUCAUCAAUAUACAUUUGCCAUAAAGUCAAGCAGGGAUUUAUUUUGAAUAGGCCCACUUGAUUAUUAAAGAAUGUUUGCUGGACAUUUUUUUUAUUAGGCCUCAUGUAUGUGAUCAAGAGUUAGUGGGGUUUUGAAUCUUUGAGUUUGUUCAUCGCAGAUGAUGUCGGCUGGAAAUUCGAUGUUUGUCAGCUGAAAGAUGUUUUAGCGGGUGUUGAAUUCUUU